Molecule: ribosomal RNA, 497 nt
Filed under: uncultured soil bacterium
Lineage: Bacteria
Description: bacterial SSU rRNA
Rfam family: Bacterial small subunit ribosomal RNA
Source: RNAcentral
GGAUUGAACGCUGGCGGCAGGCCUAACACAUGCAAGUCGAGCGGUAGAGAGGUGCUUGCAUCUCUUGAGAGCGGCGGACGGGUGAGUAAUGCCUAGGAAUCUGCCUAGUGGUGGGGGAUAACGUUCGGAAACGGACGCUAAUACCGCAUACGUCCUACGGGAGAAAGCGGGGGACCUUCGGGCCUCGCGCCAUUAGAUGAGCCUAGGUCGGAUUAGCUAGUUGGUGAGGUAAUGGCUCACCAAGGCGACGAUCCGUAACUGGUCUGAGAGGAUGAUCAGUCACACUGGAACUGAGACACGGUCCAGACUCCUACGGGAGGCAGCAGUGGGGAAUAUUGGACAAUGGGCGAAAGCCUGAUCCAGCCAUGCCGCGUGUGUGAAGAAGGUCUUCGGAUUGUAAAGCAACUUUAAGUGGAGGAAGGUUGUAACCUAAUACGUUGCAACUUUGACGUUACCGACAGAAUAAGCACCGCUAACUCGUGCCAGCAGCCGCGUAA